CCCAAGCUCGGAAAUUAAACUUCAUCACUUAUUCUUAAGUUUUAUAACAUGCUGAACAUUUUUCCCUUCUAUGGAAAUAUCAAAUUCCCACUCCAACACAUACUUUUGAAUAUUAAUUAUUUUUACCGAUUAUGUCUAUUUACCCAUUUUCGCUUAAAAUUGCUUAGCAAAAGUUGUUUAACAUAAUCUCUGGCUUCAUAUUCCACCAUAAAACAGUAAAAUAAACACAUUUCACCUAUGGAUAUUUUUCCAAAUAUGAACCCUAACAUGAAUUAAUGGUAGAAUAAGCUAAACCAAGUUACCGGGACUCCAAAAAUACGAAGAAC
Molecule: long non-coding RNA, 326 nt
Filed under: Gossypium barbadense (sea-island cotton)
Lineage: Eukaryota; Viridiplantae; Streptophyta; Magnoliopsida; Malvales; Malvaceae
Description: long non-coding RNA (GBAR_LNC020476)
Source: RNAcentral